Molecule: ribosomal RNA, 462 nt
Filed under: uncultured bacterium
Lineage: Bacteria
Description: bacterial SSU rRNA
Rfam family: Bacterial small subunit ribosomal RNA
Source: RNAcentral
GACGAACGCUGGCGGCGUGCUUAAUACAUGCAAGUCAACUGAACUUGAAGUAGCAAUAUUUCAAGGGAGGUGGCGCACGGGUGAGUAACACGUAGGUAAUCUGCCUUUAGGUCUGACAUAAUUCCGCGAAAGCGGGACUAACUUCAGAUGAUGCAGCGGCUCGACAUCGAGACAGUUGUUAAAUCUUCGGAGCCUAAAGAUGAGCCUGCGUCUGAUUAGGUAGUUGGCGGAGUAAAAGCCCACCAAGCCUGCGAUCAGUAGCUGGUCUGAGAGGAUGAUCAGCCACACUGGAACUGAGACACGGUCCAGACUCCUACGGGAGGCAGCAGUAAGGAAUAUUGCUCAAUGGCCGAAAGGCUGAAGCAGCAACGCCGCGUGGAGGAUGAAAUACUUUUGUAUGUAAACUCCUGUAAGAAGGGAAAAUAUUCCGAUUUAUCGGGAUUGAUUGUACCUUCAGAGUAA